UCGGGAAUUUUGGGCAAUGGGCGAAAGCCUGACCCAGCAACGCCGCGUGAGGGAUGAAGUAUUUCGGUAUGUAAACCUCGAAAGAAUGGGAAGAAUAAAUGACGGUACCAUUUAUAAGCUCCGGCUAACUACGUGCCAGCAGCCGCGGUAAUACGUAGGGAGCAAGCGUUGUUCGGAUUUACUGGGCGUAAAGCGUGCGUAGGUGGUUCGUUAAGUCUGAUGUGAAAGCCCUGGGCUCAACCUGGGAAUGGCAUUGGAAACUGGCGGACUGGAGUGCGGUAGAGGGUAGCGGAAUUCCCGGUGUAGCAGUGAAAUGCGUAGAGAUCGGGAGGAACAUCCGUGGCGAAGGCGGCUACCUGGACCAGCACUGACACUGAGGCACGAAAGCGUGGGGAGCAAACA
This 402-nucleotide ribosomal RNA is filed under the name uncultured bacterium. RNAcentral's name for it is "bacterial SSU rRNA". It matches the Rfam family "Bacterial small subunit ribosomal RNA", at positions 355 to 774 of the family's 1533-position model. The record is from RNAcentral.